AGGUCGCUGUUGCGUGAAUCCGGGCGGAUCCGGUCCCUAGGCGGCAUGAGGCUGCGGAUCCGACGAGGUCACGGCGGCGGCCGGCGGCUUUCUUGUUGUGCUCUCUGAGAGCCACGGGAGGAGAAGGAACAGAGGAGGGAGUGAUGCGGCAGGGCGGCGGUUGCUUCGCUGUUGUUUUUGGCCGUGGGGAGGCGUGCUGAACCUGCAGGCUCGACCCAGCAGGAGCGGCAGGUGCAGAGGCGCGUGCGAGGAGCGCCGUCGGCCCAUCGUUCUUUCUUCGUCAGGAAGGGCGCAGCCUGCUACUCAAGCCUCUCUCCUUCUCUCCUUCCAGAGCAGGAGAGGCACGGGCGCCCCCACACUGGAGAGAUGGACGAAGACAUGAAGCUUUCGCGGAGACGACGAGGUGGCCGAUGCUGCACCCCCAUGCCGUGCACACGAAGAUUCCCGUCCUCUCUGCCAUCGAUAACGACACUUCUCAUCGAUAACGGCACUUCUCGGCAGGCGCAGACCGCAUGGUCGUCUUCCUCUCUGGCCCAUCAGAUUCAGACCCUAUCCCUCUUCCUCUGCAUCUCUGUUAAAAUAUGCUCAGGUCAACUAGGAGAUGAUGCAAGCCAAGGCGCUCACAGUGAUUUAAGAUGUUUGCUCUAUGUUUGGUCAUAUUGUUCCUAGCGGUCUUGGAAGUAUCUUCAAGUCUUAAUAGAUGCAAUCCACGGUCCUGAGAUCGGCAAAGUUUGUGGCAUCAUUCUUCCUUAUGUAUUGCGUCUAAUUGCCUUUGGUCAUAAAUAGCAAGACACUGAUGGAGGAGCCGCCCAGCUCAUGCUGUGACUGUUCCAGCUUUCUGUGCUAAGAAAUCACUGACUGCCAGGAAAGGGAAGUGGACUGUGUGCCAGAGGUAUGAUCUAGCAAUUUUUCAUGUCAUUUCCUCUUUGCAGUGUGCUACUUGUUUUCUGAUGUUGUGCAUGUUCCAGUUUAGAGCUCAUGCAUCCACUCUUUAUUUCUGAAUUAAGUUAGUGAUGCACACUCUACAAAUGAGAUCCUCUUCUGUUAUGAAGAAUUGUUAUGGA
Long non-coding RNA from Triticum aestivum (bread wheat), 1064 nucleotides. RefSeq lists it as uncharacterized. The record is from RefSeq and is a predicted model, not a curated record. The transcript is spliced from 5 exons. NCBI's taxonomy places the organism in Eukaryota, Viridiplantae, Streptophyta, Magnoliopsida, Poales, Poaceae.